AGAGUUUGAUCCUGGCUCAGAAUGAACGUUGGCGGCGUGGAUUAGGCAUGCAAGUCGAGCGGUAAGGCCCCUUCGGGGGUACACGAGCGGCGGAAGGGUCAGUAAUGCGUGGGUACCUACCUCGGGGUUCGGGACAACCGUGCUAACGCGCGGCUAAUACCGAAUAAUGUCCCCGGACCAAAGGUGUGAUUCCGCCCGGAGACGGGCCCGCGUCCUAUUAGCUAGUUGGUAAGGUAAUGGCUUACCAAGGCGAAGAUGGGUAGCAGGUGUGAGAGCACGACCUGCGACACUGGGACUGAGAUACUGCCCAGACACCUACGGGUGGCUGCAGUCGAGAAUCUUCUGCAAUGGGCGCAAGCCUGACAGAGCGACGCCGCGUGCGGGAUGAAGGCCUUCGGGUUGUAAACCGCUGUCAGUGGGGAGCAAAUUCUAGGGGGUUCUCCCUCUAGUUUGAGCUAUCCGCAGAGGAAGCUCGGGCUAAGUUCGUGCCAGCAGCCGCGGUAAGACGAACCGAGCAAACGUUAUUCGGAAUCACUGGGCUUAAAGAGUCCGUAGGCGGCGCGUUAGGGUGGGGUGUGAAAUCCCUCGGCUUAACCGAGGAAUGGCGCUCCAAACCGGCGUGCUUGAGGAAGGUAGAGGUGAGCGGAACUGAUGGUGGAGCGGUGAAAUGCGUUGAUAUCAUCAGGAACACCGGAGGCGAAGGCGGCUCACUGGGCCUUUUCUGACGCUGAGGGACGAAAGCCAGGGUAGCGAACGGGAUUAGAUACCCCGGUAGUCCUGGCUGUAAACGAUGAGCACUAGGUCGGGGACCUCCCACAGGUCCUUGGCCGUAGCGAAAGUGUUAAGUGCUCCGCCUGGGGAGUAUGGUCGCAAGGCUGAAACUCAAAGGAAUUGACGGGGGCUCACACAAGCGGUGGAGAAUGUGGCUUAAUUCGAGGCUACGCGAAAAACCUUAUCCUGGUCUUGACAUGCUUAGGAACCCUGCUGAAAGGCAGGGGUGCCCUUCGGGGAGCCUUGGCACAGGUGCUGCAUGGCUGUCGUCAGCUCGUGUCGUGAGAUGUCGCGUUAAGUCGCUUAACGAGCGCAACCCCUGUCCCUAGUUGCCAGCGCGUAAUGGCGGGGACUCUAGGGAGACUGCCGGUGUUAAACCGGAGGAAGGUGGGGAUGACGUCAAGUCCUCAUGGCCUUUAUGACCAGGGCUGCACACGUCCUACAAUGGACCGCACAAAGGGAAGCCAACUCGUGAGAGCGUGGAGCCAAUCCCAAAAAACGGUCCUCAGUACGGAUUGUAGGCUGCAACCCGCCUACAUGAAGCUGGAAUCGCUAGUAAUCGCGGGUCAUCAUACCGCGGUGAAUGUGUUCCUGAGCCUUGUACACACCGCCCGUCAAGCCACGAAAUGGGGGGCGCCCGAAGUCGCCCAGCUAACCCGCAAGGGAGGCAGGCGCCGAAGGCGAACUCCGUGAUUGGGACUAAGUCGUAACAAGGUAACC
This 1491-nucleotide ribosomal RNA is filed under the name uncultured bacterium. RNAcentral describes it as "bacterial SSU rRNA". It matches the Rfam family "Bacterial small subunit ribosomal RNA". The record is from RNAcentral.